Molecule: long non-coding RNA, 492 nt
Filed under: Elaeis guineensis (African oil palm)
Lineage: Eukaryota; Viridiplantae; Streptophyta; Magnoliopsida; Arecales; Arecaceae
Description: long non-coding RNA (EGUI_LNC006699)
Source: RNAcentral
GAGGGAUACAUAUUAUUUGUGAUAGAGUUCGCGCCCGCAACAGAUACGUGCUCUUGUAUCUUUUUCAAAAGAAAAAGGUUCAUCUUCCUUCUUGCGAACCUCAUUGGAUCAUUCAUCUCAUAAGCGCUCCAAACUCCACCAUUCAUCUUCCUGCAUGGAUCCCAAAGCGAUUGCUUAGUGAUCUGACAGUGGAUCAAGUAAAUCCUUCUCUCGCAAGAAAAAUACAAUCGUAACCCACGACGCCGAUGUAGGAAUUGCUUGAAAUCCAAGGUAAGAUAGAAAAUAAGGUACCUGGUGAAAAUAAAAGUAAAUCAAUGUUGAAAAAACACAUAAUAUACUAGAGUUUCGCUUCUCAGUUCUUGGAUGUUGAACGGUAGCUAGUUUCAUGUUGAGUCAGAUCGGAACUAGAGUCAUCGCACCAAAAAAUAAAAAAAACUUGGACCUUCCGCCCAUGAAUUGCCCUUCCUCCCCGUAGUUUUAGAGAAAACGAGC